This 253-nucleotide ribosomal RNA is filed under the name uncultured bacterium. RNAcentral's name for it is "partial 16S ribosomal RNA". It matches the Rfam family "Bacterial small subunit ribosomal RNA", at positions 524 to 776 of the family's 1533-position model. The record is from RNAcentral.
UACGAGGGGGGCAAGCGUUGUUCGGAAUUAUUGGGCGUAAAGGGUGCGUAGGCGGUUUGAUAAGUCACAUGUGAAAUCUUCGGGCUCAACCCGAAGUCUGCAUGCGAAACUGUCGGGCUUGAGUAUGGGAGAGGUGAGUGGAAUUUCCGGUGUAGCGGUGAAAUGCGCAGAUAUCGGGAAGAACACCCGUGGCGAAGGCGGCUCUCUGGGACGGUACUGACGCUGAGACGCGAAAGCGUGGGGAGCGAACAGG